AGUUGGUAAGGUAACGGCUUACCAAGGCCACGAUCAGUAGCUGGUUUGAGAGAACGAUCAGCCACACUGGGACUGAGACACGGCCCAGACUCCUCCGGGAGGCAGCAGUGAGGAAUUUUCCGCAAUGGGCGAAAGCCUGACGGAGCAAUACCGUGUGAGGGAUGAAGGAUUUUGGUCUGUAAACCUCUUUUCUCAAGAAAGAAGUUCUGACGGUACUUGAGGAAUAAGCAUCGGCUAACUCCGUGCCAGCAGCCGCGGUAAUACGGGGGAUGCAAGCGUUAUCCGGAUUUAUUGGGCGUAAAGCGCCUGUAGGUUGUUUAAUAAGUCUGUUGUUAAAGACUAGGGCUUAACCCUAGGAAAGCAAUGGAAACUACUAGACUUGAGUAUGAUAGGGGUAGAGGGAAUUUCCAGUGAAGCGGUGAAAUGCGUAGAUAUUGGAAGGAACACCAAUGGCGAAAGCACUCUACUAGACUUUUACUGACACUCAGAGGCGAAAGCUAGGGUAGCAAAUGGGAUUAGAUACCCCAGUAGUCCUAGCCGUAAACGAUGGAUACUAAACAUUGCGUGCAUCGAUCCGCGUGGUGUUAUAGCUAACGCGUUAAGUAUCCCGCCUGGGGAGUAUGCUCGCAAGGGUGAAACUCAAAGGAAUUGACGGGGGCCCGCACAAGCGGUGGAGCAUGUGGUUUAAUUCGAUGCAACGCGAAGAACCUUACCAAGGCUUGACAUACUACAGAUUUCUUUGAAAAAGGAAAGUGCCUUCGGGAAUGUAGAUACAGGUGGUGCAUGGCUGUCGUCAGCUCGUGUCGUGAGAUGUUGGGUUAAGUCCCGCAACGAGCGCAACCUUUAUUUUUAGUUACCAAUUCGUUGGGUUCUCUAGAAAGACUGCCGGUGACAAACCGGAGGAAGGUGAGGAUGACGUCAAGUCAGCAUGCCCCUUAUGUCCUGGGCUACACACGUGCUACAAUGGCUAAGACAAAGAGUCGCAAGCUUGCGAAAGUUAGCUAAUCUCAUAAACUUAGCCUAAGUUCAGAUUGUAGGCUGCAACUCGCCUGCAUGAAGUUGGAAUCGCUAGUAAUCGCUGGUCAGCCAUACAGCGGUGAAUCCGUUCCCGGGCCUUGUACACACCGCCCGUCACACCAUGGGAGCUGGUCAUACCCGAUACCGUUUGCUUAACCAUUAGGAGAGCGACGUCUAAGGUAGGGCUAGUGACUGGGGUGAAGUC
RNAcentral lists this ribosomal RNA (1222 nucleotides) under Phalacroma mitra. RNAcentral's name for it is "bacterial SSU rRNA". It matches the Rfam family "Bacterial small subunit ribosomal RNA", at positions 247 to 1487 of the family's 1533-position model. Lineage: Eukaryota; Dinophyceae; Dinophysales; Dinophysaceae. The record is from RNAcentral.